AUGGCCGGCGGUGAUAUUCUCCUCCGCACCCACGGCGGCCUCCCCGUCCUCGCCAGGGCUUCCCCUUGCAGCCGCCGCCUCCGUUUUACAGCCAGCGGCCGUCGCGCCCCUUCUUCCCUCGCCGCCGCCAAGGUCGACAUCGGCGACGUCGUCAGUCAGCUCAGGUCAGGAAGCGCCCGCGGCGCGGCCGACCCGAAGAGACAGCGGAGGGUCUCGGAGGGCGUACUUGCGUUUCCCAGGGUUGUCACGAGCAGGAUAAGGGGUGCCGACGAGGAGGAAGGACAAGGGGGGGCUCCGCAAUUGGAUGCGGAGAAGAUUGGUGGCGUGGAUGGCUCCUACCUCAGCGAGACACGGUUUGAUCAGUGUGCUAUUUCUGAAUUAUCACUGAAAGGCGUCAAAGAUGCUGGAUAUGGAAGGAUGACCCAGGUGCAGGAGGCAACUCUGCCAGUAAUCCUUCAAGGCAAAGAUGUUCUUGCAAAAGCGAAGACAGGAACAGGAAAAACCGUUGCCUUUUUGCUGCCAGCCAUUGAGGUUCUCUCUAAAUUACCCAGUUCUCAACGGAGUCAGUUGCGGUCGUCUAUAAAUUUGCUUGUGAUGUGCCCUACUAGAGAGCUUGCAAACCAAGUCGCUGUUGAGGCCAAAAAGCUUCUCAAGUAUCAUCGCUCGCUAGGUGUUCAGGUUGUAAUUGGUGGCACACGAAUAACUCAAGAGCAACGUAACAUGCAGGCUAACCCAUGUCAGAUUCUUGUUGCUACACCUGGAAGGCUUAAGGAUCAUCUUGAGAAUACACCUGGUUUUUCUACUCGGCUCAAAGGGGUGAAGGUUCUUGUUCUUGAUGAAGCUGACCGCCUACUCGAUAUGGGAUUCAGAAGAGAUAUUGAAAAAAUUAUGGCUGCCACUCCUAAAGACCGUCAGACACUGCUAUUUUCUGCUACUGUUCCAGAAGAGGUCCGUCAAAUUUCUCACGUAGCAAUGAGGAAGGACUAUAGGUUCAUUAACACAGUUAAAGAGGGUGACGAGGAGACACAUUCACAGGUUAGCCAGAUGUGUAUGAUCGCACCACUUGAUCUGCACUUCUCUAUAUUAUAUGAUGUACUGAAGAAGCAUGUCGCAGAUGAUGCGGACUACAAAGUGAUUAUAUUCUGUACUACUGCAAUGGUCACGAAACUUGUUGCUGAAGUUCUCUCCCAGCUGAAACUGAAUAUAAGAGAGAUUCAUUCCAGAAAGUCACAAUCUGCAAGAACUAAGGUCUCGGAUGAAUUCAGAAGGUCAAAGGGCGUGAUAUUAGUUAGUUCUGAUGUGUCUGCUCGUGGUGUUGAUUAUCCUGAUGUCACCCUCGUCAUACAGGUUGGGAUUCCUGCUGGUAGAGAGCAGUAUAUACAUAGAAUUGGUAGAACAGGACGGAAAGGCAAGGAAGGGCUGGGCCUCUUACUGUUGGCUCCCUGGGAAAGUCAUUUUCUUACCAGCGUGAAAGAUCUGUCAGUAUCAGAGGCUGUGACACCUUCAGUUGAUUCAAGCACUCAGACAGAAGUGAAAGGUGCACUCAGAAGAGUAGAGAUGAAGAGCAAGGAAUCAGCAUAUCAAGCAUGGUUAGGGUACUACAACUCGAACAAGACCAUUGGUGGUAACAAGUCGAGACUUGUUACUCUCGGCGAAGAGUUCAGCCGGAGCAUGGGGCUUGCAGCCCCACCAGCCAUACCCAAGCUCAUUCUUCGUAAGAUGGGUCUUGGCAAAGUUCCUGGCUUUCGAUCUACAUAG
Molecule: ribosomal RNA, 1758 nt
Filed under: Triticum aestivum (bread wheat)
Lineage: Eukaryota; Viridiplantae; Streptophyta; Magnoliopsida; Poales; Poaceae
Description: partial small subunit ribosomal RNA
Source: RNAcentral